UACGGAGGGUGCAAGCGUUAUCCGGAUUCACUGGGUUUAAAGGGUGCGUAGGGGGGUUGGUAAGUCAGUGGUGAAAUCUCCAAGCUUAACUUGGAAACUGCCGUUGAUACUAUCUGUCUUGAAUAUUGUGGAGGUGAGCGGAAUAUGUCAUGUAGCGGUGAAAUGCUUAGAUAUGACAUAGAACACCAAUUGCGAAGGCAGCUCACUACUCAAUCAUUGACUCUGAGGCACGAAAGCGUGGGGAUCAAACAGG
RNAcentral lists this ribosomal RNA (253 nucleotides) under uncultured bacterium. RNAcentral describes it as "partial 16S ribosomal RNA". It matches the Rfam family "Bacterial small subunit ribosomal RNA", at positions 524 to 776 of the family's 1533-position model. The record is from RNAcentral.